Molecule: RNA transcript, 689 nt
Organism: Zootermopsis nevadensis
Lineage: Eukaryota; Metazoa; Arthropoda; Insecta; Blattodea; Termopsidae
Source: RefSeq, a predicted model, not a curated record
AGACGGAGGCCCGGCGGCUCCGGGCGCUCGGGAAGGGAUCGCUUCAGCUCCAUCUGCCGCACCAUCAACCCGGACAACUACGCGUUCCCAGGGCGAGUGCCCUACCCGUCCGCGCCGCUCUGCCCCUACUAGCACCCCGAACUUUGAGACACCGACACUGCACCCAUAAUAAUUCGACAGUGCUGCCAUCUGAAGACAACAGCGCAUAAACAAGCGUGAAUACUGUCUACUUCAAACGCGUCGGAAAGAGCCGCAGAAUGGUGACGCGUUUUUUCGCGGAUGUCCAAAGCAAAGACUUUAAUUAGAACAGUAAAUCUGCACAUUUGAAUAUUUUGAGCAAAUAAACUUUUCAGUGACAUGAGGCGCUGUUACUAUGGUUACCAUCGAAGAGGAGAGCUGCUCCGGCAUGGUAACGUGAUGCGGACGGGCAACAGCGACAGUGAUUUUUGUUUUGGAGAAAACUCCACGGAAAAAUAAAUGUAUAAGUUAAUAUCUUAGGUAAAAAGUGACUUUUGAAGCUGUUACAUGUUUACGUCUUUUCUCUCUGCAUUAUUAACGGACCGCAUCUUGUCAGGGCAGCGGCUACAUUCUUCACUUUUGAAAAGUGAUUUCUUUUUUAAAUGACAAGUUCUGAGAGCAGAAAUAUGUAAACACUGACGAGAUGGAAUAAAUGUCCUGUGCAAUCUUUA